AGAUAAUAGAUAAGGUAUAAAAGAUAUGUAAUCAUAAUAUAUCAAUAUUAUAAAAAGAUGACUCCUGUUCAAUACAGAAAUCAUCUCC
This 88-nucleotide transfer RNA is filed under the name Clostridium puniceum. Its description in RNAcentral is "tRNA-Met". Lineage: Bacteria; Bacillati; Bacillota; Clostridia; Eubacteriales; Clostridiaceae. The record is from RNAcentral.